RNAcentral lists this long non-coding RNA (369 nucleotides) under Manihot esculenta (cassava). Its description in RNAcentral is "long non-coding RNA (MESC_LNC012972)". The record is from RNAcentral. Lineage: Eukaryota; Viridiplantae; Streptophyta; Magnoliopsida; Malpighiales; Euphorbiaceae.
GAAAAGCAAAGAACCGAGCUCCCAGCUCGGAUGAACUCGUAACAGGAAAACAACAAAAGAACGAGUACUCUAUCCCAGUGGAGCUUACAGCUCAAACCACACCGAUUACCGGAAGGAUAUCUCAAGAGGAACAAGGUAUUAUAUUCCUGAGCUCGCGACAAUGACGAGAUCACGAGCCAAAAACAGAAAUGCCCUCAUGAGAAUAAGAAAAACUCGCAAGUUAGAAGCUUAACCAGACUCCGAGCUCUUAGCCCGGAUCGGUUCAACCAGCAAAGACCCAGUAGAGCCGGCCUGAUCCAACAAAUAAGUAAAGUUGACAAAACCAGAAGACAGUGUGAGUAGAAAAUAAUGAUGAGGUACAUGCCGAGG